AAAUCUGGCAAAAUCAUCUUCAAAGUCCACUCUUUCAAUCCCAGUCAUCGAUCUCUCUCAACUACACUCCGAUGAUCACAAACCAAAAAUCGUUGAACAAAUCCACCAAGCUGCGAAAACCUGGGGCUUCUUCCAGGUAAUCAACCACGGAUCCCCCGUAUCCGUCCUGGAAGAAACCAUCACAGCAGUGAAAACAUUUCACGAGCAGCCAAGUGAAGUUAAGGCCAAGUUCUACAGGAGAGAAGAGGGACGUGGAGUCAUGUAUGCUAGUAAUAAUGAUUUAUACCGAUCCAAGGCUGC
RNAcentral lists this long non-coding RNA (300 nucleotides) under Daucus carota (carrot). Its description in RNAcentral is "long non-coding RNA (DCAR_LNC002387)". Lineage: Eukaryota; Viridiplantae; Streptophyta; Magnoliopsida; Apiales; Apiaceae. The record is from RNAcentral.